GAUAAGUUUAAUUCUUGUUUAUGUUUUCUAUUGUUUGCAAGUAUUCUAUGAGAGUCAUUGCACGUUUAUUUAAAAGUUGAUUUUUAUAUUUAGCUCUCAGUGUAGAAAAUUGGGUUAUUAGCUCGUGCUUAAAUUAGUUAUGCAAAAAAUACAGGUUAAAUUUGUGCCAGCAGCCGCGGUUAGACUGGAAGUGUAAGUGGAAAAGUUUGAGUAAACAGUUAGAGUAUAAUUUAUCUUUAAUUUAGAUUUGUGAGCUAUGGAGUGAAAUCUUUCUUUUAGUAUCGAAGUUUAGAUAAAUCUUUUUUAAAACUGUGAAGAUUUAGGUACAAAAUAGGAUUAGAUACCCUAGUAUGCUUAAUUGGAAAUCGUAAUGCUUGAUUAGUAAAUAGUUAUGUUCUCGAAAUUUAAAGAAUUUGGCGGCUCUUCAGUCCAGUUAGAGGAACCUGUCCUGUAAACGAUAAACCACGAAUUAUCUUACUUUUUCUUGCUUAUUUCAAUUAGUAUACCGUCAUUAUUAGAUCAUCUUUAAAUAGAUUUGUCUAAAUAGGACUUUAUUCCUAGAAUAUUAGAUCAGGGUGCUGUCGAUGAAAAAGAAGAGAUGGGUUACAAUAGCAUUUAGCUAAAUGAAUAAUGAAGCGCAACCUUCAUUUGAAGGUGGAUUUAAUAGUAGAAGUGUGUGUAAGGAGCUACUUCGAUAGUGGUUCUGAAGAGUGUACAAAUCGCCCGUCGCUCUCAUUACCAAGGUGAGAUAAGUCGUAACAAGGUAGGUGUGUCGGAAGGUGUACCUAGGAGUAA
Molecule: non-coding RNA, 795 nt
Filed under: Caridina cf. nilotica HMG-2016
Lineage: Eukaryota; Metazoa; Arthropoda; Malacostraca; Decapoda; Atyidae
Source: RNAcentral